UCAUCAUUUCCUAUCUUUACUCUUCCUUUCUUGUUUUCCGUCAGAACCUAUACCAUGAAUUGUCAGGUCAUUUACUUUAACAAAUGUUUAUAUAUUUACCUUUGAAAAGAGCACUGUCAAAAAUCUUAAUUUCAAGUUCCCACUCAGUUACUUAACUGUAUGGCUACAACCAAAUCACCCAACUUCUCAGAGGCUUAUUUUUUCCUCUGUAAAACUGGAAAAUUUAUACUGGAUCUGCUACUCUGAUGAGAUAAAGUGGGAGGUGCUUGUUAUUUUUUGGGUGAGGAGAAAAGAUGAAGAACAGUGGAGAAAAGUGGAGAAAAGAUGAAGUUUAUGCAGCAAAUUGCUAACUGGAACAAGGUUCCAUACAGAUAGCCAGCCAUGGGAGUCAGAAUUUGAACUCAGAUCUGGUCUGGUUCUGAAGCCUCUCUUCUUUCCAGCUGUGAGACAAAGGAGCAAAUAUGAGAAGCACCUUUUGCUCACUUCUGCUUGCCAGCAGAAUUUCACAAAAGCCCUGGACUGUGAAGAUGUUUGGAAAGAUGCUUUGAAGACAAAACCUUUAACAGGGUUAGUGUUUAUGCCUCUGUAAUCUACAACCGGAUGCGCUCUUACACCCAAGCCUUGAUGGGAUUCUGCUGCGACGGAAAUUCUGAGCAAAUUUGAUGUGAUUGUGCAGG
This 677-nucleotide long non-coding RNA is filed under the name Homo sapiens (human). Its description in RNAcentral is "HSALNT0332557". The record is from RNAcentral. Lineage: Eukaryota; Metazoa; Chordata; Mammalia; Primates; Hominidae.